Long non-coding RNA from Drosophila willistoni, 1049 nucleotides. RefSeq lists it as uncharacterized. Lineage: Eukaryota; Metazoa; Arthropoda; Insecta; Diptera; Drosophilidae. The record is from RefSeq and is a predicted model, not a curated record. The transcript is spliced from 2 exons.
AUCCAUGACAGUCGUAAACAAAAUUGAAGUUGUCAUUGGAAAACUAACAUCGAGAUUCAGUUCGCUAUUGGCUCCUAUAGAGACCAUUGAUAUUAGUAACGACUGUGCUGCAAUGGCAAAACAUUGGGCACUACAAAGAAUGGGAACUCAGCCGAUUCAUCUACAUCUGCAAAAGGUUCUUAUGUUGCGUCGUCAUAAUCUUGGCUACUUCCCAAUGCACAACCAUCAUAAUUUACUGAAAAGUCAGUGACACCAGCAAAAGAUGCUACUCAACUCAAAAAAGUUUGUCUGCACAAAAGCUGCAGCUAAAAAAGAUGUAAUACGAACGCAAAAUCCAAAUCCUUCUGCUUUACCAUUAAGAAGCAAACCAAUUGCUACUUUGGAAGAUCCAUUGACUUCUAAAUUAGCAGACAAACCAACGCUAGCAACGCUGAUGAGUUAAUUGUCUAGUACCAGAGAUGCUGUGACAAAUAAAAAUGAAGCCAGUAAUGAUCGUCGAAUUAGUUCUGGGGCAACUAGAAAUAUUCAAUCCAAGUCCUCCAUCUGGGUCUAACCUGCAGUUAGUGUGAAUAAACCCCCCGUGGAGUGGCCGAAAUCAAGUCAAUCGUCCACCAGUACUCUAAAUAGGGUGGCCGCCAAGAGUGCUAAAUGUGAUUUCGAAAAAUCAAUCCAAGUCCUCCUCAUGAUUCAUUACAAGACAAUCCAGUUUCAGCUAAAGUGAAUGAUACAUUGAAGACAUCGUCAAGACUUACUGUGGAAGCAUCGUCAUCGCAACAACGAUUAAGCAUUCCAAAUGAGUUGAUCUCUAAUAGUAGGACUAGUUUUUUGACGCACAAAAGUCAAAGUAAAUUUGCAGUAGUCGAUUUCACUCGUAGGUCCAAUCCUUGUAAUCCAGUAACACCACAAACUAUCCCGUGACUAUUUUUUAAAUGUUUUACCAAAUUUGUUCGACUUUUUUGGACAAAUUUACACAAUUUACAUAUGUAAACAAUUAUUGGAGCUCGAUCUGCAUAACUCUCAUUGUGGAAUAAAUCUGCAUCUAAAAAACA